This 296-nucleotide long non-coding RNA is filed under the name Mytilus galloprovincialis (Mediterranean mussel). The record is from RNAcentral. Lineage: Eukaryota; Metazoa; Mollusca; Bivalvia; Mytilida; Mytilidae.
GUUGUAAUUGUAAUGCUAAGCACACGCAUCUCAAUUUUAUAGCAAACGAAUAAAAAGUCCAUAAAUCUUAUUUCAGCACUGGUUAUAUUCUAUUGUUUUGUUGUUCAAUUAAAGUUUGUUGAGCACUAAACCAUAUUCUUGAAUCUGUUUUGCACAACAUAUUCCCGAAUCUGUUUCUUUUGGAUCUUUAUAUGUGUCUUCCCUUCCACAGCUUGUUCCCGAGUCCAUUAGUGUUUGUAGUCUAUAUUCUAUCACAGCAAAUUAAAUUCCAGAGUUGUAUUUUAUGACGAAGUUUU